ACGAACGCUGGCGGCGUGCUUAACACAUGCAAGUCGAACGGAAAGGCCCCUUUGGGGGUACUCGAGUGGCGAACGGGUGAGUAACACGUGAGUAACCUGCCCUUGACUUCGGGAUAACUUCAGGAAACUGGGGCUAAUACCGGAUAGGAAUCCUUGCUGCAUGGUGGGGGUUGGAAAGCUUCGGCGGUUUUGGAUGGACUCGCGGCCUAUCAGCUUGUUGGUGGGGUAGUGGCUUACCAAGGCUUUGACGGGUAGCCGGCCUGAGAGGGCGACCGGCCACAUUGGGACUGAGAGACGGCCCAGACUCCUACGGGAGGCAGCAGUGGGGAAUAUUGCACAAUGGGCGGAAGCCUGAUGCAGCAACGCCGCGUGCGGGAUGACGGCCUUCGGGUUGUAAACCGCUUUCAGCAGGGGCGAAGCUUGUGGUGACGGUACCUGCAGAAGAAGCACCGGCUAACUACGUG
This 464-nucleotide ribosomal RNA is filed under the name uncultured bacterium. RNAcentral describes it as "partial 16S ribosomal RNA". It matches the Rfam family "Bacterial small subunit ribosomal RNA", at positions 29 to 507 of the family's 1533-position model. The record is from RNAcentral.